AGCAGCCGCGGUAAUUCCAGCUCCAAUAGCGUAUAUUAAAGUUGUUGCAGUUAAAAAGCUCGUAGUUGAAUUUCGGGAUCAAGUCGUCGGUCGUGCUCAGGUACGUACUGGCGUCAUUGAUUUCUCCCUUCUGACGAACCAUGAUGUCAUUAAUUUGGUGUUAUGGGAAAUCAGGACUGUUACUUUGAAAAAAUUAGAGUGUUUAAAGCAGGCUCACGCUUGAAUACAUUAGCAUGGAAUAAUGAAAUAGGACGUUCGAUCCUAUUUUGUUGGUUUUAGGAUCAACGUAAUGAUUAAUAGGGAUAGUUGGGGGCAUUAGUAUUCAAUUGUCAGAGGUGAAAUUCUUGGAUUUAUUGAAGACUAACUACUGCGAAAGCAUUUGCCAAGGAUGUUUUCAUUAAUCAAAGAACGAAAGUUAGGGGAUCGAAGACGAUCAGAUACCGUCGUAGUCUUAACCAUAAACUAUGCCGACUAGGGAUCGGAUGAUGUUAAUUUUUUAAUGACUCAUUCGGCGCCUUAC
Molecule: ribosomal RNA, 520 nt
Filed under: uncultured Glomus
Lineage: Eukaryota; Fungi; Glomeromycota; Glomeromycetes; Glomerales; Glomeraceae
Description: SSU rRNA
Rfam family: Eukaryotic small subunit ribosomal RNA
Source: RNAcentral